RNAcentral lists this ribosomal RNA (216 nucleotides) under uncultured bacterium. RNAcentral describes it as "partial 16S ribosomal RNA". It matches the Rfam family "Bacterial small subunit ribosomal RNA", at positions 115 to 334 of the family's 1533-position model. The record is from RNAcentral.
GUAUGGGGAUCUGCCCGAUAGAGGGGGAUAACUACUGGAAACGGUGGCUAAUACCGCAUAAUGUCUACGGACCAAAGCAGGGGCUCUUCGGACCUUGCACUAUCGGAUGAACCCAUAUGGGAUUAGCUAGCAGGUGGGGUAAAGGCUCACCUAGGCGACGAUCUCUAGCUGGUCUGAGAGGAUGAUCAGCCACACUGGGACUGAGACACGGCCCAG